This 352-nucleotide RNase P RNA is filed under the name Candidatus Jorgensenbacteria bacterium CG_4_10_14_0_8_um_filter_39_13. Its description in RNAcentral is "RNase P RNA component class A". It matches the Rfam family "Bacterial RNase P class A". Rfam says of the family: Ribonuclease P (RNase P) is a ubiquitous endoribonuclease, found in archaea, bacteria and eukarya as well as chloroplasts and mitochondria. Its best characterised activity is the generation of mature 5'-ends of tRNAs by cleaving the 5'-leader elements of precursor-tRNAs. Cellular RNase Ps are ribonucleoproteins. RNAcentral also lists the same sequence under 4 other names. Lineage: Bacteria; Candidatus Joergenseniibacteriota. The record is from RNAcentral.
UUGGUAAAUCAAACGAUGGCGCUCCGAUUAAAAUCGGGGUGAGGAAAGUCCGGACGUCCUCCUGAUGAAUUUCAGGAUAAAAAAGUACGGGCUAACGGCCCGCCGCAGUAAUGCGAGAGGUGCGAACAGAAACGCUGAGGUUCAAAAGAACCGAGGCGCCAAGCAUAUAAGAAAUUAUGUGCUCGGCGAGCUCUGAUGGCAACAUCGGAGAUGAAACGGCUAAAUCCUUACUGGACGCAAGGCCGUGCCGUCAUUGCUUCGCAAUGACGGAGUGCCGCUAGAGCCUGCGAGCAAUCAAAGGCCCAGAUAAAUUAUCGUUUAAACAGAAUCCGGCUUAUGAUUUACCAAUAUA